This 1287-nucleotide long non-coding RNA is filed under the name Gallus gallus (chicken). Its description in RNAcentral is "long non-coding RNA NONGGAT009437". Lineage: Eukaryota; Metazoa; Chordata; Aves; Galliformes; Phasianidae. The record is from RNAcentral.
AAAGAAUGACUGGAUGUUCCAUUCUGUGCUUGCUGAGAAUGAUUAAUUUUAUUCUUGUUGUUUAGGAGAAAUCCUGGCUUCUUUGAGCUUGGAAGCUGUUAUUCUGUUACCCACCUGCAGUCUUCCUGUGCUGAAGGAGAAGACCUUCAUUGAGGCAGCUCUUAAAAUGAUAAUGAAAAGAAACCGCUUCCAAGCAAGUGUGGCCAGAUCCAGCAGGGUGUUUUUGCUCCUCUCUAUCUCAAGAGACACCUCCUAUCUUCUGACAGGAGCGAGCCACAAAUCUUCCGAAGCUGCAGUUUUCCAUCUGGAACCUUGAAUUGCUGCUGAGUUAAGAAAGCCCCUGGUGUGAGCUCCAGAGCUUUUGUCCAGAGACAGAAGAGGUUCUUGGGCAGAGUGGAGUGUGGGAAUUCAGAACUGAAUGGAUGUGUUGAUACAGGAGGUGUUCUGGGCAUGAUGCCUGUUCGAUGGCAUGAGGAAAUGGCACCGACUCAGGUCUGAGCAUUCACUCCAAGCUGCAGCACAGCCUCAGUUCUGACAAAGAUACGGAUUGGCAGCAGUGACAGUUUGGAAUCCAAGCAGAAGGCACAGCUGCAUGCAGCAGACUUGGGACAUUUCACUUUCCAUUUCUUGCUGGCUGCAUCCCUACAGGGUUUGAUAAGCUGCGUGCUGCUGCUGAGCCUUCCAAGGAGCUCACCAACAAGAGCGUCGAUUACAGUGCAUGCAAAGAAACCACCUGCGAUCUGAGGCCAGCAGCACAUGUGAAAGGUCUGUAAUGAUGGAAGCAACCUCUGGGCAAAGUACAAAAGGAGAUAAUGAAGCAUAUCGGUCACAAGAUGGGGCAGGCGUGCACUUUUAAGGGGUUUCUUCAGGUCGAUUGUGGAAGCAGCUUGCUCUCAGCACAACUACAACCAUGGACAGCUUGUGGGCAACUCCUUUCGUAGCCAGCAUGGAAACAGAACCUGAUGAAUAAUGGGAAUCAGUGUGAUACGUCUGUGGGCUUUGCACCCAGCAGGAAAUGCUACUGCUGAGUCAUCACUCACCCCUUAGCAGCAUGCAUGUGGGCAGCCCAGCCUGUACUUUCUGCUGAAAUGGAGCGAGAGGGAGCUGGAGCUGUCUGUGUUUUAGAAUCACAGAAUCAUUAAGGUUGGAAAAGACCUCUGAGAUCCCCAACCUCAGCUCACCCCACCACGCACAGUGCCUACAUCCCUCAGUGCCACAUCCCCACGGUUCUGGAGUACCCCCAGGGACAGUGACCCCACUGCUCCCUGAGCUGUGCCAGUGUCUGAC